UCGAGAAUCUUCCGCAAUGGACGAAAGUCUGACGGAGCGACGCCGCGUGCGGGAUGAAGGCCUUCGGGUUGUAAACCGCUGUCAUAGGGGAGGAAAUUUUGACCGAUCCUAAGAGGAAGCACAGGCUAAGUUCGUGCCAGCAGCCGCGGUAAUACGAACUGUGCGAACGUUAUUCGGAAUCACUGGGCUUAAAGGGUGCGUAGGCGGCUGUAAGGGUCAGAUGUGAAAUCCCACGGCUCAACCGUGGAACUGCGUUUGAAACCGUACAGCUUGAGGAAGUCAGAGGUAAGCGGAACUGAUGGUGGAGCGGUGAAAUGCGUUGAUAUCAUCAGGAACACCGGUGGCGAAAGCGGCUUACUGGGACUUUUCUGACGCUGAGGCACGAAAGCCAGGGGAGCGAACGGGAUUAGAUACCCCCGUAGUCC
RNAcentral lists this ribosomal RNA (425 nucleotides) under uncultured prokaryote. RNAcentral describes it as "bacterial SSU rRNA". It matches the Rfam family "Bacterial small subunit ribosomal RNA", at positions 355 to 796 of the family's 1533-position model. The record is from RNAcentral.